AACGAACGUUGGCGGCGUGGAUUAGGCAUGCAAGUCGAACGAGAAAGCCACCUUCGGGUGGUUAGUAAAGUGGCGAACGGGUGAGUAACGCGUGGGAAAUCUGCCCUACAGUUGGGGAUAACACUCCUAACGGAGUGCUAAUACCGAAUGAGACCACGAGAUCGCAUGGUCUUGAGGUUGAAGGUGGCCUCUCCUUAGAAGCUACCGCUGCAGGAGGAUCCCGCGUCCCAUUAGCUUGUUGGCAGGGUAACGGCCUACCAAGGCUUCGAUGGGUAGCUGGUCUGAGAGGAUGGUCAGCCACACUGGGACUGAGAUACGGCCCAGACUCCUACGGGAGGCAGCAGUCGAGAGGCUUCGGCAAUGGGGGAAACCCUGACCGAGCGACGCCGCGUGGGCGAUGAAGGUGUAAGAUCGUAAAGCCCUGUCAGGAGGGAAGAACUGCCAAUGGGCAAACAGGCCAUUGGUUUGACGGUACCUCCAGGGGAAGCUCCGGCUAACUCCGUGCCAGCA
This 510-nucleotide ribosomal RNA is filed under the name uncultured bacterium. RNAcentral describes it as "bacterial SSU rRNA". It matches the Rfam family "Bacterial small subunit ribosomal RNA", at positions 29 to 513 of the family's 1533-position model. The record is from RNAcentral.